Molecule: ribosomal RNA, 460 nt
Filed under: uncultured bacterium
Lineage: Bacteria
Description: partial 16S ribosomal RNA
Rfam family: Bacterial small subunit ribosomal RNA
Source: RNAcentral
CCUACGGGAGGCAGCAGUGAGGAAUAUUGGUCAAUGGACGAGAGUCUGAACCAGCCAAGUAGCGUGAAGGAUGACUGCCCUAUGGGUUGUAAACUUCUUUUAUAAAGGAAUAAAACGAGGCACGUGUGCCUUGUUGCAUGUACUUUAUGAAUAAGAAUCGGCUAACUCCGUGCCAGCAGCCGCGGUAAUACGGAGGAUCCGAGCGUUAUCCGGAUUUAUUGGGUUUAAAGGGAGCGUAGAUGGGGUGUUAAGUCAGUGGUGAAGGUUUGCGGCUUAACCGUAAAAUUGCAAUUGAGACUGGCAGUCUUGAGUACAGUUGAGGUAGGCGGAAUUCGUGGUGUAGCGGUGAAAUGCUUAGAUAUCACGAAGAACCCCGAUUGCGAAGGCAGCUUACUAAACUGUGACUGACAUUGAUGCUCGAAAGUGUGGGUAUCAAACAGGAUUAGAUACCCGGGUAGUC